RNAcentral lists this long non-coding RNA (10491 nucleotides) under Marmota monax (woodchuck). Lineage: Eukaryota; Metazoa; Chordata; Mammalia; Rodentia; Sciuridae. The record is from RNAcentral.
CGUCAACGGAGGUUCCGGCUUCUCUGUGUCGUUUCUUCGGGAGUUGGCAUUGGAGUGGGCCGCCUUAAUAUGCUGUGGUGUUUCCCAGUCAAGCCUUGUGUGGAAGAUCAAAUACUAAAGAGGUAUCUUCUGUUCCUCAAGAGGGGAAGCUGUGCUGUUUUUCCGGCGUAAAAGAGUUGUGGUAACUGAGAGCCGCAACACUCCUCCUGAGGAGAGGCGAGAGCUUGAGGAGAGGCGAGAGCCGCAACACUCCUCCUGAGGAGAGGCGAGAGCUUGAGGAGAGGCGAGAGCCGCAACACUCCUCCUGAGGAGAGGCGAGAGCUUGAGGAGAGGCGAGAGCUGCAACACUCCUCCUGAGGAGAGGCGAGAGCUUGAGGAGGGGCGAGAGCCGCAACACUCCUCCUGAGGAGAGGCGAGAGCUUGAGGAGUGGGCGAGAGCUGCGACACUCCUCCUGAGGAGAGGCGAGAGCUUGAGGAGGGGCGAGAGCUGCAACACUCCUCCUGAGGAGAGGCGAGAGCUUGAGGAGGGGCGAGAGCUGCGACACUCCUCCUGAGGAGAGGCGAGAGCUUGAGGAGGGGCGAGAGCUGCAACACUUCUACUUCUUCACCGACAGAGCUGUGACACUUACCUUAAAAGCUGCAACGAUAAUACGGAGCUGUUGCCCUACCUGGGAGCGUUCCUGGUUAGGUAUUCUCAUUAGUGGAUUCUAUGGCUUCUUCACUUGCUGAGUCUCCAGUGUCUGGAUCUCCCAAGCUUCCAUGAGACUUGGGAACAGGUAAUUUUCGUGGGUUAGGUGCUGUGUGUUUUAACUGCUCGGUGCUUAAGUGGGAUAUACUCAGCAGCCCUGGGAGAACUGAGUUGCUGGUUAACCCCCCAGGGCAGUGAAGACUAAACGUAACUGGGACUCUUGGUGUCCACAUAGAGGCUACCAGAUAUCCUGAUCACAGUGGAAGGUGGCCAUUGGCAGGUCAAAGACGUUUCUGCCAAAUUGGUAGGGUUCAUUGUCGGUAGAUUUUCAGCCUCCUUAAUUAACUGUUGAGGAUAAGUCUGGCAUUUUGUUAAGGUAGCCCAACUCAGUGUGAGUCUUAACCCCACCCCACCCCUACCAUGAUGUUUAAGACUGGAGAUUUGAGAAGGGAACAAGCAGGUAUCCACUAUUAUCUCCUAGUGGGCCUACCUAGGAACCCCCUCCCCACUGUCCCAAUCUUUGGGGAACCCUGAGGCUAAGGCCACUCUGCUGAGCUUCUGGUAGUUCGGGUCUAAUGCUAUGCACCUGUACCCAUGGCUCCACCUCAUCCUGAGCGAGCAGGCUGGGCAAGUGCUGGGUGCCACUUGAUCAUAACCCCACCAGUAGGCAGCCUAGGUAAAUCUGCAGCCAUAGAUGGGCCAAGUAUUUCCUGCCAUGUUCUGACCAUCAAGUCGUGCCAUGGAGUUAAGCUGAGGGCUCAUGGGUCUCUGGCCAGGCUUCUCAGUUAAAUACACAGCUGCUAUCACUGAGUAAGUGCUCUGCCACAUAAUUGAGAGCCCAUAAAGAGACUAUAACUGGUUAUUACCUCUGGUCUCUGCUUCUUGGUAAUUCACCAAGUCACUGAAGACUAUUGCUAUGUCUAAAUUAAAACUUCAUUUUUCCCCCUAAAAUAUUUCCACAGAUUGAUUCUAUUGAUAAUACCUCUUUCUCUUUCAAAACCCCAACAGUAAAUUCCUCAUUCUACCUCGCCACCUGCUACAAGCAGGUCCCUCCUGAUGCCUUACUCUGGGUGUGGUACAGCACUGAGCAAUCAGAAGGGAUGUCAGCCAUUGGGGAAAAGGAGAGGAUUGGUGUCAAGUAUAUAUAUAUGGAGUGAUUUUUUUUUUUUCCCCUGUGAAUAACAUGUAAUACAUAUGAAGCUUCAAAUAAUAGUGUCAGAUGCAAGUUUAUUGCUUAGAUAAUGAUAAACCUUCCUGUUAUGAAGCAGUAGCAGUGAAACCUUUUCCCCUUACAGGAUGACUUGGCUGCUAUUUUCAGCUGUGUCUUCUUACUGCUAGAUUUUUUUCUCCUUAUCGCUGUGUGCCCUGCUCCUGCUUUGUCUCCCUUGUACUCCCUGCCUCAAAGGCCUGCCAGGUGUCUGCCCUAGGAACUCACCCAAAAGAAACUUUGGGAAAAUGGACAUAGUCCACUGCAUCCAAACCGAACUCCUAUGUGAUCCAGGUAUGCAUCUCAACUGAUGGCCUUUAUGAUUUCUUUUAGUUAUCUAUUGCUGUGCGGUUUAUAAAAUGGCUCUCAUUGACUUGCUCAGUCUGCAGUUUGGCCUGGGCUCAGCAGGGAAGGCUUAUCACUGUUCCUUUUGGCAGUUGUUGUUUGGCUGGCAGUGGCUGCAGCCCCUGCACGGGCCCUUGGGCUUCUCAUGGCUGGACUCAGAGUCCUUGCUUGGCACUUGAAGUCAGACUCCCGGAUCUUCCUCUGGCUCCAUUUGUGCACUUCUUAUAAAAUCCAGUUUUAACAAAACACUGCUGUGGGUUUCCCGAGAGCCCCACCCCUCCUGGAUCUCCCAUUGCCCUCCAUGUACAAUUGUGUUCACCCCCCACCAUUUCCCAGGUAAAGUCUGGCCACUUGUGCCUGCCCUUAGCAAAAAUCCCAUUAGACCAGUUUAGCCAGAUCACCCUGACCACUGAUGUUUCCCCUUAGUGAUUUUCCUUCCCCUGGUCCCAAUCUGCUGAGUGGACUCUGCUUGCCCAUGUGGGUGCUUGGUGUUUAGGCCCAUCUUUCUCAGGCAGAAUUCCCUCACAGUGGUUCUUCUACCUAUCCACGUAAUCCUCCUCACUGUGCUUACACUGGCCAUUGAACACCUUGUUUUUGAACACUUCUAAGAGAAAACACGCAAGCGAAAAGGCCCUAAGGCCCAGCCUCGUAAGUUACACAGCAUCACUAUUAUUUUUGCCAAAACAGGUUGGAAGGCCAACCCAGCCUGCCUUUCAAAACCAGGCAUUGUAAAGAGUUUUCAGCCACCUUGCCUCACCAUCAUCUUUCUGACUUUUAACAAAAGACCUAUUCUUUUUGAAUAAAUUCCUGGCUUUGUCUUGUGGAUUCUUUUUCUUGGUUAAUAUUUACUGUCUGGCAUCUUUAUUUGUCUCCUUCAGAUUGCUUUACUGUCCCUGGGCUGUAGUACUUUCACAACUUCAGAUGGCUGGGUAAUUUUCGCCUGUGGCUCACCUUUGUGGGAACCCACGCUUGCCUCCUUGUCUGUGGAGGCAGCUUUGUGGGUGGGCAAACCUGUAGCCAGAGCAGGAGGUCUUUUUCUCGUACACACACAUGGAUGAGACAAGCCCUCUCUGGCUCCUGGAUCUUGGUGUUGAGUAUUAGGAUGAGAAGUUGGGCUCCUUGCAUCUGCUGAUCCAUCACCUUAAUCGAAAGUUCUUGAUAGUUUCUUCCCAAAGACUCUUUCAUGACCUGGCUUCUAUCAGUCAUCUGCAUCUUUUUCCAGGUUUAACUAUCAUGCCUUAGCACAGCAGUGAUCAAUGUGAAAAGUUAACAGUGUCCCUUUCCUUACAAAGCCACUGGAUUCGAUCACUGGGGCUCACCCUAGGUCCUGUAUCUAGCCUACCCCCUGCCAUAGAGCCAUCUCUAAACGCUGUAGUCUAACAUUUCUACCAUCUUAAUGCCAUUAAGACUUUGGGGGUCAGCUCCUGCCUGGUUCUGGAGACAACCCAGGAAACCACAGCAUCACCUGUGGAUUUAAAUGACUCAAACUCCAGCAGCCGCCUCGAGUGCACGUUUUAUUCUCACUCAUCCCUUCUCUGUGCUUGCAGGUUAGGGGCAGUCUGUGGUCUCAGGCCAGCAGCUCUGUGUGUCUGCUCCUGCCAGCAGCUCUCCACUACCCACAGUACUCAGGGCUGUGCAUCAUGUGCAUCACGGCUCCUGCUCACAUCCCGUCUAAAAUGACAGCUGCCUCAUCAGGAACAAGAAGAUCAGGCUCUCAGUAGCUCUCCCUGGCAGACACCAGGCACUCGGCACCACCACUUUCCAGAGCCCAGAACACAGACCAUGCUGAGGGCAGGUAGCAGAGCUGUUGGUCACUAGAGUGAUCCCGAUGCCCAGCUUCACUCUGGAUACCUCCUACACCGUGGAAGAAAAGCCAGGCCACUUCUUCCAGGCUCCACAUGCCAGCUGGCACACCCCUGAUGCCAGCAAAGGGACAGGUGCCGUGCUCCGGCAGGGUUCUGUUGACAUACACACCCCUUCUCUCCCCUGCUCACAGAAUCACCACUGUGUGUGCAUCCGAAACGUCGGGGGAUUCCCUGCACUGACAAUAAAAAUGAUAAUGACAAUUGUCAUUAUUGAGGAGAAGGUAGGCACUUGGACCCUUUCUCUAGGAUGCCACAGAAAGCACUUUAAGGAACAGCCUCAGCUUAGCAGCUGUGGUAUCCUUCAUCCAGACUUGGCCACAAAGGAGAUGAUGCCCAGCCUCUGGCUUGGGGUAGGAAAAGUAUGGGCUCCUCUGGUUGCCACCUGCGUAGCUGCUGAAUGCACCUUCUCUACAUGUGACUGACAUUGAAGCUACAAUCAGAGUUCUUUCCAGCUGUGCUGCUCUGGGCCCCUGGGACUCCUGGUGGUAAGGAAGUAGACUUCCUUGUGAAUGGGUCCUCCUAUUAUGACCCUCCACUGUGUGAUCUCGAUGCCCAGGGGUACAGGAAGCCCAGCUGUGCUCACCUGGAGUGUGGUCAACACAGGACCCCCGAUAGGAAAGGGCUUUUUCACUGCAGGAGACAGGCUGCCCUUUAUAUUUGCAAGCUGCAGGGUAAAGCUUGACUCACCUGCCUGUGCUCUUCACCAAUCCCGGCAGAGCAUGGUACUUGUAAGCAUGUGUUUUUGGUGACAGACUGCCUGGGCCAUGAGCUGCAUGCCCCUGGGUAAGUUAUACAAACUCUGUGGGCCCUAAGUUUCGUGUCUGUAAAUGGGGGCGAUAAUACUACCUCUCCACAGGGCUGCUCUGGUGACUGAACGAGUGAGAAGGGUGCCAUUGCCUGAACAUGGCCAGCGUUCAGAGGUGUCCUGCCGUCUCAUCACCUUCUCCACCCUCCUACAGGCCUUUCAGAAGCCACCCACCAUCUGCCUCUUCCCAUGAGAACUGUGGAUAAGAGUGUAAAGACUCGCAAACGGCAGAAACACAAGUUCUAAGACCCCGUGUUGGCAUAUGCCAUGGAGAGGCACCGCAGCGCUGUGGGACAGCCAGUGGAGGACCCCUGGGAGUAGGAAGCCACUGUGAUUUAGUGGAAAGAAACAGAAUGUCACGCUCAAGUUAAAAGGGUCCAGGACCCUCAUCCACCUCUCGCCACAGUGGAAACGUUGCCAAGAGGCUGAGCCCCAGAGGGAGAGGUCUGUGGUGAUGCUGGGCCAGUGGCUUCCAGGGAGAGGGAGGCUUCUGAGCUGUGCUUGGCAUGUAGUGGAGAGCCACAGCCCAGGGCUUGUGGAGUGGAGGAGGUGGCCGUGGCACUGGGAGAAGCUACUGAGCUCCUGGACAUUUCUAGAACCUAAGUUCCCCAGCCUCUGCCAAUGGAGGCCCAGUUUGCUCUCUAGGAGAGGGCAGGGCAAACCUUCCCAAUGCACCCUCCCUCUGGCCAGGAAAUGCCCAGGGGCUAAAUGAGAAGGGCAGGCCCCUGUAGCCCUCCAGGAAAGGCAGGCAGUGAGCACAGGAAGGGAGGCCAGGCCUGCAAUUCCAGCCAUCACAGAUUAAUGGGAAAUGACUAGAAUUCGCCUUCUCGUGCCCAGGUAGGCACCGACUCUUCCCUUGCCGUGCAGAAUGCUGACCCCCGUCAUUUAUUCAUUUAUUUUCUUGCUCCUUAAAUGAGCUCUGUGAGCCACAGGAUGGGGGCUCUGUCUUACCAGGCUGGCACUCAGACCAUUGUCCAGUGCAUGAGAGGUGCCCGAGUUGGUUUUCCAUUCCUAUAACAAAUACCUGAGGCCGUCAACCCACAACAUGGGGAGAUUCACUUUGGCUCACAGUGUUGAAGGUUCCAGCUCACGGACACUUGGCCCUGUUGCUUUGGGGAGCGUGGAGAGACCGCACAUCAUGGUGGGGAGCAUGUAGAGAUUGGGCUGUCCACCCCGCGGUGGGAAGUGAAAGUGGAAACAGGAAGAGAACAGGGUCCCACAACCCCUCUGAGGGCAGGUCCCAGGGGCCUAUGGCCUCCCACAAGCUCCACCUCCUAAAAGCUCCACCAUUUCCCAAUGUCACUGAGCCGGGGACCCAGCCUUGACACAUCGGUCUUUGUGGGACACACCAGAUCCAAACUACGGUGCUCAACAGAUAUUGAACAGGUAACAAAAUGAGAACCAUAACUGGUAGUGAGAAGCCUGGCUUAGAGUUCAGAUGUUUUCAGGAGGGAGGGAGAGAAGGGGGAAUGUGCCCCUAAGCCAGGUUCCACGCAGCCAAGGGCUGCAGUCAGUUGGUGACACAGGUCCAGUGGCAGGAAUGCUGAGUUUCGUGCUGUGACUAGACAAUGUGGUCCCUCCAGUCCUCAGGCACAAGGCUUGGUUCUUUAAGUGGACCUCACUGGGAAGGGAUAAGACAAUAUGACCCAUUUCAUUCCCCUCCCUUAAUCCACAAUGCAUCGUGUCCUGUAGCAAUGGACCCCGCCUCGUCCACAGUCAAAGUGGACGCGUAGACCACAGUGGUCAUUCAGCCUUGCUCUCUGCAGCCUGAACACUUGGAAUUUCAAAGCAGCUGCUGCUAUAGAAUUUUCUAGAAGUCCACGUUGGCUGGAGUGGGUUGUGCCCCUGGCUCCUUGUGCAUCAAUGCUAACGGCAGGGUGCCGGCCGCUGGGCUGCCACUCACCUCAGGUCUUGCCUGUCUGCCUUUUGGGAGUGUUGGAGAGCCAGCCUCACACUAGUGUUCAAUUAAGUGAAAUUAGAUUUUGCAAGAUGGAAGUUUCUUCCCCUUGCUCCAUCCAGGAAGAAUCGAUCUAAUUAUCACGUCCAUGCUCCCAGGACUCUUGUUUAAAUCUCUCCUCCCUGUUUCAGUUGAACGCAUUGGUGCUGCAGAUGUGUCUUUAGUUAAUGGAGGUUGGAGCGGUUUGCAAGUCCUGCUGGGGGUGAGCCACAUGUGCGACGACCCCAGAGUGGGUGUGCCUCUUGCUUUUCCUGCUUGAUCAGGCCCAACCCAGUCGGCCAGCCACUCCUUAGGGACCUAAGCCCUCUUGGGGUGCUGGUUCCCACCCUCUGCUCCUAUGCAAAGACCACCAAGGCACUGGGGACUCACGGCACCAGGAAAGUUGAGCUCCUUUCCCACCUGUGGCUGGCUGGAGGACGGGGUGGUAGAGGGUGGGAGCCUGCAGGAAGGUACCUGAAAGGCCUCUUUCUAGCUGAGUGGCAGUAGGCUCUGCCCAUCCUGGUUCUGAUCUCCACGAUGGGAGAUGAGCUCGUUCUACUGUCUGCAGGGCAGUCUCUCCCCAGUGUGCCCUUCCCCCAGGCAGCCAUCUCAUGGCCUCUCAAUCAGCCACGGCCCUUUAUUUCCUGUAAUUCUGGUGCUUUGACAUCUUGGGGUUUGCUGCCUCAGAAGGGACUACACUUCCCAGGGCAGGCCAUCCCUAGAGGGAGUGAGAAGUAUGCAGGAACCUCUCCAUGAGCGUCCAUCCGACCUGCCUGAGCGUGUGUGGCUCUCACUCUGUCUCUUCCUUCAUCACUCAGGGACAGACCCUAGAGAACUUGGGACAGCACUCGACCCCCCAGUCCAAUGGAGUUAUCCAAAUCAGCCAUUCCAAACUUAAGGGCCCAGCCACAUCCACUCCUCCUCAAGACCCACUGCGAAAGGUCCUGCCCACAGUCCCCCCAGUUGCUGCUGUCGACUGAGCAGACCUGGAGCUUCCCCUGCAGCCCUGUGGCAGGGCAUGCCCACGCCUCUUGGGAACUGAGUGACCAACCAUCUUUCCAACAGCAGCCUCCUGGCCUGGUGACUUCACCGUACCUCAAUAACAACCACACUGCAUUUUAAAACAGCCUCCUGGCCCCCUCGGGGUAGAGGCCGCUCACUGCUCCUGGCUGGAGGAAAGCCAUCUUGUCUGGCCAGGGGCAGCAGGUGGCAGAGCUGAGCCCAAUCUACAUUCUCUCCCAGCUGGCCUCGAGGAGGAAGCCUUGCACUGACAGGAGCUCCUGUCCCAACUUUGGGGACCUCUGUCUCCUAAAUAGAAUUGAAAUAAACUAUGCAUCUUCAGAACCACGGAGAGGUAUUCCUGGGGCACACGCUGCGUGUGAGGAUAGAAAGUGGCUUGGAGGGUGACAAAAAGGAAUAUGCAUUUCCCAUUCGUUUCCAGAAACGUCUGUGAGAGUCCUGCAGUCCUGCCCUGCAGCCACAGCUGGUAGCUGUUGGAGCUAUUCCCGCCCUUGCUGGAUCAUGGCCCCCAUGCGAGCUGACAGUCCAGGGAAGCUCCUCAGAAUGGAGAUGCUGUGUGGAUAAAAGAGGAGAGAGUCCUAUGAAGGAAACUGAUCAUAUUGAAGUAUAAUUUAAAAAUAUUUUAAAACAAAUAUUAAUUUGUCAGUGAAGCACUUCUCUAUUAAUUCUUCAAUAACAUGAUAUGGCGGGGGGGUCUCAGAAACCACGGUGUUGCAGCUGUGAUGAGCCUGGAUAUAGAUGCUUCGCAAUUCCUGCUGCGGUUAUAACUUACCUGGAAAGAUCUGUGGUUUCCACUGCCCCGGGCACUGUUAAUACACUGGGGUUUGUCGCAUGUGGAGCCAGCCCUCUGUGCCCAUGGGUUCCAGACAGCAGUGAAAAUUUAAAACUCAUGUUCAUACUGAAAGCGCAGGCUUUUUUCUUUUGUCACUGUUCCCUAAGAAGUAAGCCUGACCAUCAUUUAUACGGCGUUUACGGUGUACUGAGUACUGUACAGACACCAGAGGUGAUUUGAAGUGUAUGGGAGGGUGUUUGUAGGUGACACAAACAUUACAACAUUUCAUAUAAAGGACUUGAGUCUCCGUGGGUUUUGAUAUCCGUCAGGGAAAGGUAUCCUGGAACCAGUUCCCCCCCCAUGCUGAGGGACCACGGCAUUCAUCACUGAAGGACACGCGGUAUUGCAAAUGAGGUCACCAAACAGAAGAUGUCAUUUCCUACCUAGUUCAAGCUUGCAAGUGCCCUGAAUCCUGCCCCACCUGUGGCCUGCAGGAGAUGCCUUCUACAGCUUUGAAAAUCAGCAGCCGCUGGGCGAGUCCUUCUCCCCAGCCAAGUGUGCCCAGGCCACAGGGGUCUGGCUAUGGCUCAGAGGCCUCCCUGAGCUGAGAAGUUAGGCCAACACACCAUGUCCUUGUUUGCAAGUGGCCCUCUCUGCCCUCUCACCCAGAGGGGAAAACCGGGUUCUUCCUUGGUAAGCAUGGGCACCGAGGUCCCAUCAACUCACCUGGGGUGGAGCAAGGCCAGCUCAGUGAACUCUGGCCAGAUUCACUGACUCUGUUCCACAGAAACGGGAAGCUGUGGCAGUUCUGGCCCCCUCUUUCCAGUGACAGGUGGAUCUUAUGAACCCUGGAGACCUCUCCAGGUACCAUGAUUUGAUUGUGUCAUCUCUGGGCAGGGCACAUGGCAGCUCGAACAUGACGAAUCACCUGUUUUGGUCACAGGGAGUUUUGGAUGUCCGUGGCUGUUUGGAUUGAGGUGUCCUCCAAGAGCUCGUGUGUGAGACACUGCAAGAAAAUUUAAAGGUGAAGUGAUUAUCUUAUCAGAGAUGCAACCUACCAGCACAUUGAUAGGGAUGACCUGAGUGGUAAUUAGGCAGGUAGGGUGUGGCUGCAGGAGGUGGGUUCCUUUGGGGUAUAUUUUGUCCCUGAUGAGCAGAGCUUAGUCUCUCUCUCUCUCUCUCUGCGUCCUUGUGCGUGUCCUGAGCCACUUUCCUCCACCACUUCCUUCUGCCUGAGGUUCUUCUGCGGCACCAUGGCCCAGAGCAGUGGAGUCACGUCUAUGCAGAGAAACCAAACCCCCCUCCACGUCGGCAUGUGGCAGCAGACUGCAGGGCUCUCACCUCAGCAGCUCCAAGUGUGGGCCUCUCCGUGAGCCCAGACUGCCCUGCUCUCUGCCCACGCUGUGUGCUGCAAGCCGAGUGGCAGGUGGCUGGGGUGAGACAUGUGAAGCUCACCAGGCAGAGGGUUUGCUGGUUUGCGGGGUGUGGGAAGCCAUUCUUGCACGUGAUUGGGCACCUCCCUGAUUGGGUGUGAGGCUUCUGGCUAAACUGUGUUGGAACUAAUCCCCACCCUCUUUAGGUGCGAGAGCCCAUCUGUGUGGGGGUGUGACUGACCAUUGACCCUGAGACCAAUCACUGACCCUGACCUUGGAAUGCUGUCCCCCUCGACCUUCAUUGAAUGGAAUUUUCCCCUGAAUUUCUUAUUCCCCAAUAAAAGGCCACUCCCUGGCGUGCUCUCUCUCUCUCUCCUGCUAGUCUGUGUAAACCUCCUUGCCCCACCAGGUGGCUCGAGGCAGGAGCCAGAGGGGGAGCCGUCUCAGACCUGGUCAAAGAAAAAGGUAAAUUGAGUUUUG